UACGGAGGGUGCGAGCGUUAAUCGGAAUCACUGGGCGUAAAGGGCGCGUAGGUGGCUAGGCAAGUCGGGUGUGAAAGCCCCGGGCUCAACCUGGGAAUUGCAUUCGAUACUGCUUGGCUAGAGUACGGUAGAGGGAAGCGGAAUUCCGCAUGUAGCGGUGAAAUGCGUAGAUAUGCGGAGGAACACCAGUGGCGAAGGCGGCUUCCUGGACCGUAACUGACACUGAGGCGCGAAAGCGUGGGGAGCAAACAGG
This 253-nucleotide ribosomal RNA is filed under the name uncultured bacterium. Its description in RNAcentral is "partial 16S ribosomal RNA". It matches the Rfam family "Bacterial small subunit ribosomal RNA", at positions 524 to 776 of the family's 1533-position model. The record is from RNAcentral.